UCAGUUGUCUUAUAAUUGAAGACUGGAAUGAAUGGUUAAACGAAAUUAAAGCUGUUUCAUUUGUAUUUAUUAGAAAUUAGCUUUUAAAUGAAGAGAUUUAAAUUUGAUUAAGGGACAAGAAGACCCUAUUGAGCUUUAAAUAAUUUAAAGGGUUAAAGUUAUUAUAAAGAUCUAUGGUCUUUAGUAUUUUUUAGUUGGGGCGACUAAGGAACAGAUGAAGCUUCCUUUAUUUAUUUGAUUGAUAGAUUUUGAUCCAGGGUUGCUGAUUAAGGGAGAUAGUUACCAUAGGGAUAACAGCAUAAUCUUCUUGGAGAGUUCUUAUUAAAAAGGGGGGUUGUGACCUCGAUGUUGGACUAAAAUAUCCUAAUGGUGUA
RNAcentral lists this ribosomal RNA (374 nucleotides) under Cipangopaludina chinensis chinensis. RNAcentral describes it as "partial 16S rRNA". The record is from RNAcentral. Lineage: Eukaryota; Metazoa; Mollusca; Gastropoda; Architaenioglossa; Viviparidae.